AUGAACGCUGGCGGCGUGCCUAAUACAUGCAAGUCGAGCGAACAGACGAGGAGCUUGCUCCUCUGACGUUAGCGGCGGACGGGUGAGUAACACGUGGAUAACCUACCUAUAAGACUGGGAUAACUUCGGGAAACCGGAGCUAAUACCGGAUAAUAUAUUGAACCGCAUGGUUCAAUAGUGAAAGACGGUUUUGCUGUCACUUAUAGAUGGAUCCGCGCCGCAUUAGCUAGUUGGUAAGGUAACGGCUUACCAAGGCGACGAUGCGUAGCCGACCUGAGAGGGUGAUCGGCCACACUGGAACUGAGAAACGGUCCAGACUCCUACGGGAGGCAGCAGGAGGGGAUCUUCCGCAAUGGGCGAAAGCCUGACGGGGCAAAGCCGCGUGAGUGAUGAAGGUCCUCGGAUCGUAAAACUCUGUUAUUAGGGAAGAACAAAUGUGUAAGUAACUAUGCACGUCUUGACGGUACCUAAUCAGAAAGCCACGGCUAACUACGUG
This 496-nucleotide ribosomal RNA is filed under the name uncultured bacterium. RNAcentral describes it as "partial 16S ribosomal RNA". It matches the Rfam family "Bacterial small subunit ribosomal RNA", at positions 29 to 507 of the family's 1533-position model. The record is from RNAcentral.